UACGAAGGGGGCUAGCGUUGCUCGGAAUCACUGGGCGUAAAGGGUGCGUAGGCGGGUCUUUAAGUCAGGGGGGAAAUCCUGGAGCUCAACUCCAGAACUGCCUUUGAUACUGAGGAUCUUGAGUUCGGGAGAGGUGAGUGGAACUGCGGGUGUAGAGGUGAAAUUCGUAGAUAUUCGCAAGAACACCAGUGGCGAAGGCGGCUCACUGGCCCGAUACUGACGCUGAGGCACGAAAGCGUGGGGAGCAAACAGG
RNAcentral lists this ribosomal RNA (253 nucleotides) under uncultured bacterium. RNAcentral's name for it is "partial 16S ribosomal RNA". It matches the Rfam family "Bacterial small subunit ribosomal RNA", at positions 524 to 776 of the family's 1533-position model. The record is from RNAcentral.